GGUAGGAGGUGGUGUUUACAGCUAAUUGAUCACAGCCAGUUACAGAUUCCUUUGUUCCUUCUCCACUCCCACUGCUCCCUUGACCAGCCUUAA
RNAcentral lists this Y RNA (93 nucleotides) under Propithecus coquereli (Coquerel's sifaka). RNAcentral's name for it is "Y RNA (ENSPCOG00000002692.1)". It matches the Rfam family "Y RNA". From Rfam's summary of the family: Y RNAs are components of the Ro ribonucleoprotein particle (Ro RNP), in association with Ro60 and La proteins. The Y RNAs and Ro60 and La proteins are well conserved, but the function of the Ro RNP is not known. In humans the RNA component can be one of four small RNAs -- hY1, hY3, hY4 and hY5. The record is from RNAcentral. Lineage: Eukaryota; Metazoa; Chordata; Mammalia; Primates; Indriidae.